GACGAACGCUGGCGGCGCGCCUAACACAUGCAAGUCGAACGAAGAAAGCGAUAGUUUACUAGAGCUUUCUUAGUGGCGGACGGGUGAGUAACACGUGAAGAACCUGCCUUACAGAGGGGGACAACAGUUGGAAACGACUGCUAAUACCGCAUAAGCGCACAGGGCCGCAUGGCCCGGUGUGAAAAAUUCCGGUGGUAUAAGAUGGACCCGCGUCUGAUUAGCUGGUUGGUGGGGUAAUGGCCCACCAAGGCGACGAUCAGUAGCCGGCCUGAGAGGGUGAACGGCCACAUUGGGACUGAGACACGGCCCAG
Molecule: ribosomal RNA, 311 nt
Filed under: uncultured bacterium
Lineage: Bacteria
Description: bacterial SSU rRNA
Rfam family: Bacterial small subunit ribosomal RNA
Source: RNAcentral